Molecule: ribosomal RNA, 521 nt
Filed under: uncultured bacterium
Lineage: Bacteria
Description: bacterial SSU rRNA
Rfam family: Bacterial small subunit ribosomal RNA
Source: RNAcentral
AAUAGAUACCCGGGUAGUCCUGGCCGUAAACGAUGAGCGCUGGAUUGGGGAGGCCCCCACACCUUCCUGAUCGAAGCGAAAGCAUGAAGCGCUCCGCCUGGGGAGUAUAGUCGCAAGGCUGAAACUCAAAGGAAUUGACGGGGGCUCACACAAGCGGUGGAGGAUGUGGCUUAAUUCGAGGCUACGCGAAGAACCUUAUCCUAGGUUUGACAUGCUUGGGAAUCCUCUUGAAAGAGAGGAGUGCCUUCGGGAACCCUUGCACAGGUGCUGCAUGGCUGUCGUCAGCUCGUGUCGUGAGAUGUCGGGUUAAGUCCCUUAACGAGCGAAACCCUUGUCUCUAGUUGCCAGCAUUCAGUUGGGGACUCUAGAGAGACUGCCGGUGUGAAACCGGAGGAAGGUGGGGAUGACGUCAAGUCCUCAUGGCCUUUAUGCCUAGGGCUGCACACGUCCUACAAUGGCGCGUACAAAGAGCAGCGAAGCCGCGAGGCCAAGCGAAUCUCAAAAAGCGCGCCCUAGUUCGG